GGAUCAAUAUGUUGGUCGUGCCUCGGUACGUACUAGCAUAUUGGUUUCUCCUUUCUGAAGAACCAUGAUGUCAUUUAUUUGGUGUCGUGGGGAAUCAGGACUGUUACUUUGAAAAAUUAGAGUGUUUAAAGCAGGCUCACGCUUGAAUACAUUAGCAUGGAAUAAUGAAAUAGGACGUUUGAUUCUAUUUUGUUGGUUUCUAGGAUCGACGUAAUGAUUA
Molecule: ribosomal RNA, 220 nt
Filed under: uncultured fungus
Lineage: Eukaryota; Fungi
Description: partial 18S ribosomal RNA
Rfam family: Eukaryotic small subunit ribosomal RNA (bases 45-220)
Source: RNAcentral